Molecule: ribosomal RNA, 469 nt
Filed under: uncultured bacterium
Lineage: Bacteria
Description: bacterial SSU rRNA
Rfam family: Bacterial small subunit ribosomal RNA
Source: RNAcentral
GAUGAACGCUAGCUACAGGCUUAACACAUGCAAGUCGAGGGGCAGCACAAGGCAGCAAUGCUGAGGUGGCGACCGGCGCACGGGUGCGUAACGCGUAUCCAACCUUCCCGUUACUCUUGGAUAGCCUUCCGAAAGGGAGAUUAAUACAAGAUGGUGUUGAAAUUCCGCAUGUCAUUUCAACUAAAGAUUUAUCGGUAACGGAUGGGGAUGCGUGACAUUAGAUAGAUGGCGGGGUAACGGCCCACCAUGUCCACGAUGUCUAGGGGUUCUGAGAGGAAGGUCCCCCACACUGGAACUGAGACACGGUCCAGACUCCUACGGGAGGCAGCAGUGGGGAAUAUUGGGCAAUGGGCGAAAGCCUGACCCAGCGACGCCGCGUGAAGGAAGAAGGCCUUCGGGUUGUAAACUUCUGUUGUAAGGGACGAAACAAAUGACGGUACCUUACGAGGAAGCCACGGCUAACUACGUG